UUACGACUCCCUCUGUCCGGAAAUACUUGUCUUCAAACUGGAUAAAAGGGGAUGUAUCUAGAUGUAUUUUAGUUCUAGAUACAUCUUUUUUUAUUCAUUUUGAUGACAAGUAUUUUCGGACGGAGGGAGUAGUAU
Non-coding RNA from Triticum aestivum (bread wheat), 135 nucleotides. Lineage: Eukaryota; Viridiplantae; Streptophyta; Magnoliopsida; Poales; Poaceae. The record is from Rfam.